Long non-coding RNA from Sardina pilchardus (European sardine), 841 nucleotides. RefSeq lists it as uncharacterized. The transcript is spliced from 6 exons. The record is from RefSeq and is a predicted model, not a curated record. Lineage: Eukaryota; Metazoa; Chordata; Actinopteri; Clupeiformes; Clupeidae.
UGAUGACUGUCUUAGGGUUGCAACUGAACUUUACCAUGCAGGGUUGAUGCCUUCCUAUUGAUUGAUUUCAAUACACGAAGCUGAACAAGAGCUGCUGAGCUGCUGAAUCUCUGCAGACAGUUGCCAAGGUGUCCUGUCAUCACCAUGAGGAAGCUGCUACUUAUCACUCUCCUGGUCCUGGUCACUCUUGCCUUUAGUGCAGAGGGUGUCCGUGCCCCAAGGCAAGCAGAACCCUUUGACUUGUGGUCUCUGUACGAUCAGGCCAUGGAGCAGAUCAGCAAGACAAUUGGAGAAGAGCAGCUGCGUUCUAUAGGAAAAGCCACAACUGAAUUAGCCAUCAAUGUGGGACAUGCAGCAAGCAAGCUCAUAAAUUCAGUCAUCCACAAAGCCUAGAGUUAUCUCCAAGCCGGAGCAUAUGGAUUUCUCUGGACCUCUGUGAUGUCUCUGGUGGUCUUUGUUGUGUCAAAUGUGAUUCCAGUGGCUGAACUCCACACAGACCAUUUUUUUUCUUCCACAUUUUUUUUUUCUUCUGUAAUUUUGUCUCUCAGAACUGCACGUAAUUUGACCUGUAAGAUCACUAUAACACCCUUUGACAUUUGUGGAAUUUCGUUCAUGGGGGGCCACACAAUAAAUUAAUUUACUGUAUGUGUACAUUUGCUACAAAUCAGCCUGCAGAUGGUGUUAAGCGAAGGGUUGCCGAAUGAAGUUGAAUGUUUAUCUGAAAAACCCAAUUAUUUUCACAAAGGUGGUUGAUCGCUAGCCUGCAGUUGAUUGCUGGAUGGAUGUGAAAAAUCUGUACUACUGUAUAUAGCGUGUGCUAUUAAAUAUAACACUGUUGUCA